CCUACGGGCGGCUGCAGUGGGGAAUAUUGGACAAUGGGGGGAACCCUGAUCCAGCCAUGCCGCGUGUGUGAAGAAGGCCCUCGGGUUGUAAAGCACUUUCAGUGAGGAAGAACGCCUGGUGGUUAAUACCCAUCAGGAAAGACAUCACUCACAGAAGAAGCACCGGCUAACUCCGUGCGCAGCAGCCGCGGUAAUACGGAGGGUGCGAGCGUUAAUCGGAAUUACUGGGCGUAAAGCGCGCGUAGGUGGCUUGAUAAGCCGGUUGUGAAAGCCCCGGGCUCAACCUGGGAACGGCAUCCGGAACUGUCAAGCUAGAGUGCAGGAGAGGAAGGUAGAAUUCCCGGUGUAGCGGUGAAAUGCGUAGAGAUCGGGAGGAAUACCAGUGGCGAAGGCGGCCUUCUGGACUGACACUGACACUGAGGUGCGAAAGCGUGGGUAGCAAACAGGAUUAGAUACCCGGGUAGUC
RNAcentral lists this ribosomal RNA (466 nucleotides) under Vreelandella stevensii. Its description in RNAcentral is "partial 16S ribosomal RNA". It matches the Rfam family "Bacterial small subunit ribosomal RNA", at positions 338 to 795 of the family's 1533-position model. Lineage: Bacteria; Pseudomonadati; Pseudomonadota; Gammaproteobacteria; Oceanospirillales; Halomonadaceae. The record is from RNAcentral.